GACGAACGCUGGCGGCGUGCUUAACACAUGCAAGUCGAGCGGUAAGGCUCCUUCGGGAGUACACGAGCGGCGAACGGGUGAGUAACACGUGAGCAAUCUGCCCUUCACACGGGGAUAACCCUCGGAAACGAGAGCUAAUACCCGAUACGACCACUUCAGGCAUCUGAUGGUGGUGGAAAGUUCCGGCGGUGAAGGAUGAGCUCGCGGCCUAUCAGCUUGUUGGUGGUGUAACGGCCCACCAAGGCAACGACGGGUAGCCGGCCGGAGAGGGUGACCAGCCACACUGGGACGGGGACACGGCCCAGACACCUACGGGAGGCAGCAGUGUGGAAUAUUGGACAAUGGGCGAAGGCCUGAUCCAGCAACGCCGCGUGAGGGAUGACGGCCUUCGGGUUGUAAACCUCUCUCAGCAGGGACGAAGCGCAAGUGACGGUACCUGCAGAAGAAGCACCGGCCAACUACGUGCCAGCCGCCGCCGUAA
RNAcentral lists this ribosomal RNA (481 nucleotides) under uncultured bacterium. RNAcentral describes it as "partial 16S ribosomal RNA". It matches the Rfam family "Bacterial small subunit ribosomal RNA", at positions 28 to 523 of the family's 1533-position model. The record is from RNAcentral.